This 830-nucleotide ribosomal RNA is filed under the name Levilactobacillus brevis. RNAcentral describes it as "bacterial SSU rRNA". It matches the Rfam family "Bacterial small subunit ribosomal RNA", at positions 117 to 932 of the family's 1533-position model. The record is from RNAcentral. Lineage: Bacteria; Bacillati; Bacillota; Bacilli; Lactobacillales; Lactobacillaceae.
GUGGGAAAUCUGCCCAGAAGCAGGGGAUAACACUUGGAAACAGGUGCUAAUACCGUAUAACAACAAAAUCCGCAUGGAUUUUGUUUGAAAGGUGGCUUCGGCUAUCACUUCUGGAUGAUCCCGCGGCGUAUUAGUUAGUUGGUGAGGUAAAGGCCCACCAAGACGAUGAUACGUAGCCGACCUGAGAGGGUAAUCGGCCACAUUGGGACUGAGACACGGCCCAAACUCCUACGGGAGGCAGCAGUAGGGAAUCUUCCACAAUGGACGAAAGUCUGAUGGAGCAAUGCCGCGUGAGUGAAGAAGGGUUUCGGCUCGUAAAACUCUGUUGUUAAAGAAGAACACCUUUGAGAGUAACUGUUCAAGGGUUGACGGUAUUUAACCAGAAAGCCACGGCUAACUACGUGCCAGCAGCCGCGGUAAUACGUAGGUGGCAAGCGUUGUCCGGAUUUAUUGGGCGUAAAGCGAGCGCAGGCGGUUUUUUAAGUCUGAUGUGAAAGCCUUCGGCUUAACCGGAGAAGUGCAUCGGAAACUGGGAGACUUGAGUGCAGAAGAGGACAGUGGAACUCCAUGUGUAGCGGUGGAAUGCGUAGAUAUAUGGAAGAACACCAGUGGCGAAGGCGGCUGUCUAGUCUGUAACUGACGCUGAGGCUCGAAAGCAUGGGUAGCGAACAGGAUUAGAUACCCUGGUAGUCCAUGCCGUAAACGAUGAGUGCUAAGUGUUGGAGGGUUUCCGCCCUUCAGUGCUGCAGCUAACGCAUUAAGCACUCCGCCUGGGGAGUACGACCGCAAGGUUGAAACUCAAAGGAAUUGACGGGGGCCCGCACAAGCGG